CCUACGGGUGGCUGCAGUGGGGAAUAUUGGGCAAUGGAGGCAACUCUGACCCAGCAACGCCGCGUGAGCGAUGAAGGUCUUCGGAUUGUAAAGCUCUUUAAGCGGGGACGACGAAAGUGACUGUACCCGCAAAAUAAGCCUCGGCUAACGACGUGCAAGCAGCCGCGGUAAUACGGAGGAGGCAAGCGUUAUCCGGAUUGACUGGGCGUAAAGGGUGCGUAGGUGGUUUGGCAAGUCAGUAGCGUAAUCCCGGGGCUCAACCUCGGUGCUACUACCAAAACUGUUGAACUUGAGUGCAGGAGAGGUAAAUGGAAUUCCCAGUGUAGCGGUGGAAUGCGUAGAUAUUAGGAAGAACACCAGCGGCGAAGGCGAUUCACUGGACUGUAACUGACACUGAGGCACGAAAGCGUGGGGAGCAAACAGGAUUAGAUACCCCAGUAGUC
RNAcentral lists this ribosomal RNA (443 nucleotides) under uncultured bacterium. Its description in RNAcentral is "partial 16S ribosomal RNA". It matches the Rfam family "Bacterial small subunit ribosomal RNA", at positions 338 to 795 of the family's 1533-position model. The record is from RNAcentral.